RNAcentral lists this ribosomal RNA (359 nucleotides) under uncultured eukaryote. RNAcentral's name for it is "partial 18S ribosomal RNA". It matches the Rfam family "Eukaryotic small subunit ribosomal RNA", at positions 1470 to 1796 of the family's 1831-position model. The record is from RNAcentral.
CCCUUAGAUGUCCUGGGCCGCACGCGCGCUACACUGAUGCAUGCAACGAGUUUAUAACCUUGGCCUGAAAGGCCUGGGUAAUCUUUUGAACGUGCAUCGUGAUAGGGAUAGAUUAUUGCAAUUGUUAAUCUUGAACGAGGAAUUCCUAGUAGGCGCGAGUCAACAACUCGCACCGAUUUCGUCCCUGCUCUUUGUACACACCGCCCGUCGCUCCUACCGAUGAAUGAAUCGGUGAGAAUUUGGGAGAGCUGAAGAGAGGAUUUGGGUUGGAAACGGCCUAGAUCUGAAACGUGUCGAGAGAUGCGGGAGCUACAAACUUGUUCAAACCUGUUCAUUUAGAGGAAGGAGAAGUCGUAACA